Molecule: long non-coding RNA, 823 nt
Organism: Cicer arietinum (chickpea)
Lineage: Eukaryota; Viridiplantae; Streptophyta; Magnoliopsida; Fabales; Fabaceae
Source: RefSeq, a predicted model, not a curated record
AAAACAAAGCAAUUCAUUGAAAUAAAAAAAAUAAAAAACACGCAGGUGCUGCCUCUUUUCACUUGUAUCAAAUUGUAGUCGCGCUUACCUCAAUGCAGGCGGAGUUGGUCUUCGACAUCCCAGGAUCGGUGUCUAUAAGAAACGAGUAUGCCUCAUAGAACUCGACCCAUGACUGCGCUCUUGUUGUUUACAUCGAUAAAUGCUGUUUUGUGUGCAACCAUUACUCCAGUCUAUGAUUUUGUUUGCUUUCUUCCUUACUGGGAAAGAAGGAGGGAAAGACGUCGUCAGGAACGUGAAACAUCUAACCAUCAAAGGAUCUAGCCUUUUAAUUGUCUUAUUUUCCUCUCAUAAUGUUCUUGCAAUAUGGAAUAUGUAUGAGUAGAAGUCUGAAUUCUUGGACCAACUUGGUAUCAUUCAUAGGCAUUUUAAAGGUAUUCUCAUUCUAACUUUACUCAGGUCAAAACCAAUAUUCUAUUGGAAAAGAUUUGGAUAGACUUCUUUUUAUUUCUUUCCUCAAAAUGAUCAUGUGUGCUUCAUUUGCAAACAAAUUUUCAGUCUCAUGCAUUUUUCAUUAUAUCCAACUAGCUAUUGGGACAGAAUAUGUUAGUGUAAAUUAUGGAAACGGGUACACGACACACGUUUACAACUGCCACAUAUUGGUUAUGGAAAUCUCUAAAGGCGCACAUAAUAAGAGAUAAGUAGGAUAUUUGUAUGUCUCAAUCCAGUAUUUGAUGAGGCAACAAUAUAUGAUAAUUAAUCAUAAAAUUUAUUUUGUAUCUCUAGUUGAAAUUUUUAUUCUGAAUUUGAGUUGGGUUCGAAACAA